UACGUAGGUGGCAAGCGUUGUCCGGAUUUACUGGGCGUAAAGGGAGCGUAGGUGGAUAUUUAAGUGGGAUGUGAAAUACUCGGGCUUAACCUGAGUGCUGCAUUCCAAACUGAAUAUCUAGAGUGCAGGAGAGGAAAGUAGAAUUCCUAGUGUAGCGGUGAAAUGCGUAGAGAUUAGGAAGAAUACCAGUGGCGAAGGCGACUUUCUGGACUGUAACUGACACUGAGGCUCGAAAGCGUGGGGAGCAAACAGG
Molecule: ribosomal RNA, 253 nt
Filed under: uncultured bacterium
Lineage: Bacteria
Description: partial 16S ribosomal RNA
Rfam family: Bacterial small subunit ribosomal RNA
Source: RNAcentral